UGGGGAAUUUUGGACAAUGGGCGAAAGCCUGAUCCAGCAAUGCCGCGUGUGUGAAGAAGGCCUUCGGGUUGUAAAGCACUUUUGUCCGGAAAGAAAUCCUUGGCUCUAAUACAGUCGGGGGAUGACGGUACCGGAAGAAUAAGCACCGGCUAACUACGUGCCAGCAGCCGCGGUAAUACGUAGGGUGCAAGCGUUAAUCGGAAUUACUGGGCGUAAAGCGUGCGCAGGCGGUUUGCUAAGACCGAUGUGAAAUCCCCGGGCUCAACCUGGGAACUGCAUUGGUGACUGGCAGGCUAGAGUAUGGCAGAGGGGGGUAGAAUUCCACGUGUAGCAGUGAAAUGCGUAGAGAUGUGGAGGAAUACCGAUGGCGAAGGCAGCCCCCUGGGCCAAAUACUGACGCUCAUGCACGAAAGCGUGGGGAGCAAACAGGAUUAGAUACCCUGGUAGUCCACGCCCUAAACGAUGUCAACUAGUUGUGGGGAUUCAUUUCCUUAGUAACGUAGCUAACGCGUGAAGUUGACCGCCUGGGGAGUACGGUCGCAAGAUUAAAACUCAAAUGAAUUGACGGGGUCAUAGCUGUUUCCU
RNAcentral lists this ribosomal RNA (585 nucleotides) under uncultured bacterium. RNAcentral describes it as "partial 16S ribosomal RNA". It matches the Rfam family "Bacterial small subunit ribosomal RNA", at positions 355 to 1375 of the family's 1533-position model. The record is from RNAcentral.